CAUCCAUUGUUCAUUAUUCACCCUUCAAAGUGAGAGUCCAAUACAGUCAUGUCUGUGCUUAUGGCUUUUAUCAGUAACAUCCCUCUCCUGAUCGUUCUCGCGACCUCCGCGAACUUGAUGACUGUUCAUCGACGUCCGUGGCCACCUAUUGAGCGAAAUAGGUGUCUAGUUGACAAAGGACAAAUGAUGUGGAAGGACGUUAACACAAUGUGGCAAGCAGACACCUUAUGUGGUAUCUGGUCAUGCGAUGAUACGUGGGACUCUUAUGGCGCUAAUUCUGUAAUUUUAAAUUUCUGCCAAAUUCCUGCUACGUUCCAGGAAUGCGAGGAUACUGUUGUAGACACGACAAUUGAUUUUCCACAGUGCUGUUGGACAUGUGUCACUUUUAACGAAAAAUGCGCCAGCGACGAAUAGAAUUAUCCAGGUGUCGUAGGAGGAGAAAAAUCUAUUUAUAAGUGCACUGUCAAAUAUUAAUUUGAUUUUAAUCAACAACAAAAUGUCCACAUACCACACCAGAAUGGAGUCUUCACCACCCAACUGCUAGAGCAACUGGGUUAGGCGGCAAGCUACGGAAAACUCAUGCAACAUGGAGACGGUCACUGGAAGGCCAUAAGUACCAUGAAAUUAUGUACGAGUAAAAUCAAAUAAAUAAAAAAUAAAAAAUAAAUAUGCAUGAACC
Long non-coding RNA from Drosophila obscura, 679 nucleotides. RefSeq lists it as uncharacterized. The record is from RefSeq and is a predicted model, not a curated record. The transcript is spliced from 3 exons. NCBI's taxonomy places the organism in Eukaryota, Metazoa, Arthropoda, Insecta, Diptera, Drosophilidae.